GUCCACGCCGUAAACGAUGGAUACUAGCUGUUGGGGGCAACUUCAGUGGCUAAGCGAAAGUGAUAAGUAUCCCACCUGGGGAGUACGAACGCAAGUUUGAAACUCAAAGGAAUUGACGGGGCCCGCACAAGCGGUGGAGCAUGUGGUUUAAUUCGAUGAUACGCGAGGAACCUUACCAAGGCUUAAAUGUAGAUUGACCGGUUUUGGAAACAGACUUUUUCGCAAGACAAUUUACAAGGUGCUGCAUGGUUGUCGU
Molecule: ribosomal RNA, 256 nt
Filed under: uncultured bacterium
Lineage: Bacteria
Description: partial 16S ribosomal RNA
Rfam family: Bacterial small subunit ribosomal RNA
Source: RNAcentral